CCUAAGAGAUACGUGUUAUGUGCAGUGCUCACACAGAUUGUCUGAUGAAGAACGAGCAAAAGCGCGUCUGCGAAGCUGACAGAAGUCCCCUUCGUCUAGAGGCCUAGGACACCGCCCUUUCACGGCGGUAACAGGGGUUCGAAUCCCCUAGGGGACGCCAAUGCGCGGUAUGAGUGAAAGGCGUACCACUUAUCUGACGAAAGUCAGAGAAUAACUAAGCUAAUUCAAACGAGUUAUCUUACUUAUUAUGCUCUUUAACAAUCUGGAACAAGCUGAAAAAUUGAAAACAAAUCAAUAUAUCACCGAGGUAUAUUGAUGAGUCUCUCAAAAUCUCAAACCUUAAAGUUUGUCACGCAAAGUUUAUCUUUGAAAAAGACACUUUCGGGUUGUGA
RNAcentral lists this unclassified non-coding RNA (392 nucleotides) under Proteus mirabilis. Its description in RNAcentral is "partial 16S-23S ribosomal RNA intergenic spacer". The stretch from base 85 to 157 matches the Rfam family "tRNA". Lineage: Bacteria; Pseudomonadati; Pseudomonadota; Gammaproteobacteria; Enterobacterales; Morganellaceae. The record is from RNAcentral.